GAUGAACGCUGGCGGCGUGCCUAAUACAUGCAAGUCGAGCGAACAGAUGAGGAGCUUGCUCCUCUGACGUUGGCGGCGGACGGGUGAGUAACACGUGGAUAACCUACCUAUAAGACUGGGAUAACUUCGGGAAACCGGAGCUAAUACCGGAUAAUAUAUUGAACCGCAUGGUUCAAUAGUGAAAGACGGUUUUGCUGUCACUUAUAGAUGGAUCCGCGCCGCAUUAGCUAGUUGGUAAGGUAACGGCUUACCAAGGCAACGAUGCGUAGCCGACCUGAGAGGGUGAUCGGCCACACUGGAACUGAGACACGGUCCAGACUCCUACGGGAGGCAGCAGUAGGGAAUCUUCCGCAAAGGGCGAAAGCCUGACGGAGCAACGCCGCGUGAGUGAUGAAGGUCUUCGGAUCGUAAAACUCUGUUAUUAGGGAAGAACAAAUGUGUAAGUAACUAUGCACGUCUUGACGGUACCUAAUCAGAAAGCCACGGCUAACUACGUG
RNAcentral lists this ribosomal RNA (497 nucleotides) under uncultured bacterium. RNAcentral's name for it is "partial 16S ribosomal RNA". It matches the Rfam family "Bacterial small subunit ribosomal RNA", at positions 28 to 507 of the family's 1533-position model. The record is from RNAcentral.